This 7745-nucleotide long non-coding RNA is filed under the name Sarcophilus harrisii (Tasmanian devil). RNAcentral describes it as "lncRNA (ENSSHAG00000024870.1)". The record is from RNAcentral. Lineage: Eukaryota; Metazoa; Chordata; Mammalia; Dasyuromorphia; Dasyuridae.
CGUCGUCGUGCCCCCCGACGACCCCCCCAAGCACCCCGCGGUGGUCCACCCGGACCCCGUAAAGAAGCCCACCAUCUUCUGGAUGGAGGAGCCCGCUCCCAACCUCCCCUCCAUCAUGGGCGUCCCGACCCGCCCCAAGCAGCCCCUGCGUCUGCCCACCCCGGGGAGGCGCAGCAGGUCGGAGCCCCGAAGUUCGAAGCCCCUUCUCCUAAUGCGGGACGCUGCUGCUCCGGCUCCCGACAGCUCGGGAACCCCUCCUUCUCCCGCUCCCGACAGCUCUACGGCCCUUCUUUCACCCGCCCCCGACAGCUCAGGGACCCCUCCUUCUCCCGCCCCCGACAGCUCGGGGACCCUUCCUGCCCCCACCCCCGACAGCUCUGCAACCCCUCCUUCCCCCGCCCCAGACAGCUCAGGGACCCUCCUUUCCCUCGCCCCCGACAGCUCAGCGAUACCUCCUUCCCCCUCACCUGCCAACUCGGUGAUCCGCCUUUCUCCCGCCCCCGACAGCUCUGCGCCCCUUCCUUCCCCGGUCCCCGACAGCUCUGCGCCCCUUCCUUCAGCCCCAGACAGCUCUGUCGCAACUCCUUCCCUGGCUCCCCACAGCUCCGCCACCCCUCCUUCCGUCCCCGACAGCUCUGUGACCCCUCCUUCCCUGGCCCCCGACAGCUCUGCGAGCCCGCCUUCCAUCCCCGACAGCUCGGGGACCCUUCUUUCCCCAGCCCCGGACAGCUCGAUGGCCCCACCUUUCCCCGCCCCCGACAGCUCGGUGAACCCUUUUUUCCCUGCCCCCGACAGCUCGGUGACCCCUCCUUCCGCCCCCGACAGCUCGGGGACCCCUUACAGUUCUGGGUCCCCCCCCAGCCGAGGCUCCAGCAUUGCCUCCAGGGGCCACUUGGGGACUCCUGCUGCUCCCCACCUGGUGCUCACUCCCGGGAGUCGCUCGGAAACCCCUCCCAGUUUCCGCGCAGUGCUCACCUCCGGGAGUCACUGGGUAAACCAUUCUAGUCCCCACCCCGUGCUCACCUCCGGGAGUCACUCGGGGAGUCCUCCUAGUCCCCGGGCUGUGCUCAUAUUCAGGAGUCACUCGGGGAGUCGUCCUAGUCCCCGGGCCGUGCUCACCUCCGGGAGUCGCAAGGGGAGUCCUCCUAGUCCCCGCGCCGUGCUCACCUCCAGGAGGCCCUCGGGGAGCCCUCCGAGUCACGCGGGGAGUCCUCCUAGUCCCCGAGCUGUGCUCAGACCUGGGAAUGUGAGGACCCCUCCUGGUUCUCAAGCCGGGCUCCCCUCUGAGAAUUAUUUGUCGACAUCUGUCUCGGGGACUCCUCCUAGCCUGCGCGCGCUCAUGGCUUCUAGAGGCGGUCUGGAGCCCCCUCCUCACCCCAAAAGACUCAGCAUCUCAGGGGGACCCGCGAAGCCCCCUUCUCAUCCGGGGGGCCUUAGCAUCUUUAGGAAGCGUCUGGAAGCCCCUGCUCCCCCGCAAACCCUCAGCGUCUCUGGGAGUCGUCCAGAGCCCCUUCCUCGGGCCAAAGCCCCCACUUUAAAAUCCCUCCUCAAGCGCCCCAACAAGGUGACGGAGGCUUUGGCGGCUGAGGCCGCCCGGCCCUACUGGAUCACUGUCCUGAAGAACCACAGGGACCCUGGCCCCAAGACGGAGCCUUUGGUUUACCCCUCCCUCCUCAAGGCUGAUCCUCCUCCUCCUCUGCCCUUCAUCAUAGUGUCUGAGCCCCAACAAACUCCACCCCCUUUCUUCAAGAGUGAGCCUCAGAUGCCCGUUCCCUCUAACGUCAGUUCUGAGGGUCUUCCUUGCCCCCCCAUCUUCUAUAUUGAGCCUUCAGUUCGCGUCCCCCCCAUCAUCAGGUUCGAGUCCCCCAUCCUCAGACCUGAGACUCCUCCCGACUCCUCCAGUUCAGAGCCUCUUCCCGACUCCUCCAAUAGCUCUGAGCCUACUCCUGACUCCUCUAGUUCUGAGCCUACUCUCGACUCCAUCAGCAGGGCUGAGCCUCCUCCAGACUCCAUCAUCACCAGGGAUGAGCCUCCUCCCGACUUCUCCAUUGGCUCUGAGCCGCCUCCUGACUCCAUCACCAGGGCUGAGCCGCCUCCUGACUCCAUCUCUAAGCUGGAUUCUUCCAUCACCUCUGAGCCUACUUCUGACAACCCCAUGAGCUCUGAGCCGCCUCCUGACUCCAUCCCCAAGGCUGAGCCUCCUCCCGACUCCUCCAUCCCCUCUGAGCUUUCUCCUGACUCCCCCAUCACCUCUGAACCUCCUCCCGACUCCCCCAUCACCUCUGAACCUCCUCCCGAUGCCAUCACCUCUGAGCCUCCUCCCGAUUCUCCCAUCAUCAGCUCUGAACCCGAUUCUUCCAUCAAUUCUAAGCCUACUUCUGACUCCAAUGCUGAGCCUCCUCCCAACUCCGCCAUCAUCAGCUCUGAGCCCCCUCCUGACUCUCCCAUCAUCAGCUCUGAGCUUCCUCCUGACUCCAUUUCCAAGACUAAACUUUCUCUUGAUCCUUUUAUCAACAGCUUUGAGCCCUCUUCAAGCCAUUAGUUUUGAACCCCUUAUUCCUCUCCCCUCAUCUCUGAACCCUCUCUUCACCCCACUCUCCCAUCAACAGCUCUCAGCUCCCUUCUUACCCCAAUCAGGAUCUCCUCUCCGGUUCCUCCAUCAGCUACAUUAGCUUUGAGCUAAUUUAUCCUCCCUCUCUUCUAUUGCCUCUGAUCCCCCUCCCUAUACCACACUUAUUAUACCUCUGGGCCCCCUUUUCUCCUCCCUUCCAUCAUUAGCUCUGAACCCCCUAUUCCUUUACAACCAUCAUUGAUCCUGAGCCCCCUCCUCACCCCUCCAUAAGUUCUCAGCCUCUUUUCCAUUCCUUAUUAUCAGAUCUUAACCCCUUAAUUAGUUUUGAGCCCCUUUUCAGAACUUUACUUUUUCCUGUACUAAGCACUGAGCCUGAAAGACCCUAGUCCUCCCUGUUCUAGGCCUCGUCUUCUCUAACUCUGAGCCCCCUUUUUCUCACUAUCUUUAUUCCCCUCAGCUUUGAGCCAGUCCUCAGGACCCCUGAGACCCCUUUAGCUCUGAGCCCUCUUUUCAUCUUCUUCUCCCAGCUCCAAAUAGACAUUUUCUAGCCUCCUUAAACACAAAUUGCCCCUACCCUAGCUCUGAGCUUCAUGUCCCCCCCUUGCUCAGAUUAGCCUUUCCAGCUCCAAUUCCCAUUCUUCCCUUUCAACAUUGCCCCAUUUUCCAAGUCUCUCUUGCUCCUAUCCUUGCAUGGCCCUGUUCCCCCUUGGCAGAGACACAGAAGAAAGGAUCCCUAGGUUUCCCCAGACUACCCCGUUGGUCCAGGAUACAAAAAACACUAACCCCUCCCUCCCAACCUCAAGGAGACCUUUUCUGGAAACAAAGCGUAUCUGCUUCUGCCUUGCCUCAGAAACAAAAGACAUGGACCAAAGGAAGACCCAAAGUUGAGCAUGUGUUGAGCUGCAGUCAACAAGACUCGCUUCCUGGUGCUGACAUGCAUUCAGCUCCCCAAGUGAAGAUCCCAGCUAGAGAGAUGGUGUCGCUUAAUAAGAAGUCCGUGACAUUCAAGGAUGUUGCUGUGGAUUUCACCGAGGAGGAAUGGAGACGCCUGAACCCUGCUCAGAGGCAGCUGUACAGGGAUGUGAUGCUGGAGAACUACAGAAACCUAAUUUUUCUAGAUUGGGAGACUAAUCCUGAAACCAAGGAGUUGACUCCAAAACUAGACAUGUCUGUGGAAGAGUUGUCCCUGCAAAGCUUCACAAAGAUUAGUCCCCAUGACCACAGGUUGGGAGAUACCUGGGAAUAUGGUGUCAAGUUUGAGGGACAGCAGGACAAGCUAGAGAAAGAUUCCGUACAAGUAACAGUCACCCAAAGAAAAGUUCCUAAUAAACUGAGGAGCCACGAAUGUAACAAAUUUGGAAGAAGCUUUAAUUUUGGGUCAGUCCUUGUUCCACCCCAGAAAAUUCCUAUGAAAAAGAGUUUGCGUAAAUAUACUCCAUAUGGAAGAAGCCUCAAACAGUAUUCCAGCUUGAUGAAAUGUAGUAGAAUCUCCUCUGAAACUUGUAAGGGUAAUGAGUCAAGCAAAGUCUUCUGUUACUAUUCAGACUUUCAUCAAAAUCAUACAGUACAGAUGGGGAAAAAAGCUUAUAAAUAUGAAAGUGAAAAGGCAUUUAGCCAGAAUAUACACAUCACUCAGAAUCAGAGAAUUAGUCCUGGACAAAAGUCUUAUACAUGUUAUGAACCUGCUCAGGUCUUUGCCCACAACGCAUCCUUCACUACACAUCUGAAAGUCCAUAUUGGAGAGAAACCUUAUAAAUGUAAUGACUGUGGGAAAAUCUUUGGCUACAUUUCAUCCCUUAUUAAUCAUCGGAGAAUACAUACUGAAGAGAAGCCCUAUGCGUGUAAUUCCUGCGGAAAGUCUUUCAGAGAUAGGUCAUACCUUACUCAACACCAGAGAAUUCACACUGGAGAGAAACCCUAUAAGUGUGAUGAAUGUGGAAAAGUAUUUAUACGAGGUACACAUCUUACUCGACACCAGAGAAUCCACACUGGAGAGAAACCCUAUCAUUGUAAUGAAUGUGGAAAAGCCUUCAAUCAGAGCACACACCUUAUUCAGCACCAGAGAAUUCAUACUGGGGAGAAACCCUAUAAAUGUAACAUAUGUGGAAAAGCCUUCAGCCAGAGCGCUUACGUUGUUCAGCAUCAGAGACGUCACACGGGAGAGUACCCCCAUAAAUGUGACGAAUGUGGGAAAGCUUUUAGCCAAAGAUCAUCUCUCAUUGAGCAUCAGAGAAUCCAUACUGGAGAGAAACCCUGUGUGUGCAACGAAUGUGGCAGAGCAUUUAGGAGUUACCCAUCUCUUACUAAACAUCAGAGAAUUCAUACCGGAGAGAAGCCCUAUUUGUGUAAUGAAUGUGGGAAAGCCUUUAGCCGAAGUGCUUACCUUACUCAACAUCAAAGAAUUCAUACUGGAGAGAAGCCCUUUAAUUGUAUUGAAUGUGGGAAAAGCUUCAUCCGGAGUGCACACCUUAUUGAACACAAAAGAAUUCACACUGGAGAGAAACCCUAUGAAUGCAGUGUAUGUGGAAAAGCCUUCAGCAAUCGCUCAUCUGUCACUAAACAUCAAAAAAUUCACACUCAAGGAAAACACUAUGAAUGCUGUGAGUGUGGAAACACUUUUAUUAAGAAAUCAUUACUUAUUCAACAUCGAAAACUCCACCUUGGAAAGUAAUUGUAAAUACAGACUAUGGGAAAGUUUCAGCCACAGCAACCAUUAACUAUGUAUAUUCAUGAGAGAAUUCACACUGUCAGAAAUCUCCAUUGAUGAAAUGAAUAUUGGAUAGGCUUCCGAUGCAGAUAAUCAUUUGAAAAUUCAAGACUAAAGAAUAAUCGUGGGAUUCUAAAGAUUUAUGAUCUUGUUGAUGUGGGUACUUUUCCUGAUGUAGAUGUUAAUAUUGCCCUACUUUAAUACAGUUUAUAUGAUAGAAAGAACCUCGUUUAUAUAGUCAGGAUUUUGCUCAGUCAUUUUUUGUCACGUCUGCUACUUCAUGACCCCACUUGGGUUUUCUGGGAAAAAAGAAUAUGUGGGUUCAAAUCACAGUUCUUCUAUUUUCUGUUUUCAUGACCUUCAGCAAUCCCUUCCCCCCUCUGAGCCUCAGUUUCCUCACAUGAUGGGGGUGGACUAGAUGAACUCUUAAGGUUUCUUGAAGAUCUAAAUUCUGUGAUCCUAUGAAUUGUCAUGGUCAAAAACCAAAUCAUUACCUGCUGUCGAGCUUCUGGUGAUGAACCUGCUUAUGCUUAAGUAGGCUGGUCCUUGGAUUGCAAACCCAUCUUGGAUCACAUGAUUGUCCCCUACUCAAAGGAAUUCCAACUUAAUCAGAGCUGCCAAAGCUUGUGUUCCUCUGAUAUGUCUAUCCAGGGUCACCUCCACAUCGCGCUGAGUCGCCAGAGUAGGAUCUUCGCCUCCAGCUCCUGACUCUCGGGCCCAUCAUGUCCACCUGGGGCUCAUUCUUCUAGGCUCUUCUUGGUGCCCACGAGUUCCCAGAGGCAGAUCUGACGGCUCGUCAUCUCUCAUGGAGGACGUUCCCAAACUUGGCAAAAUGACAGAUCCUUGACAUGCUGAGGAUUGUUUCAGUUACAAGUAUUAAGCAUCUUCGGUAUGCCAGGCAUGGAGGGCACAAGUAGAACCAGUGACCCCCAGGCACCAGGGAGUCGCCGAGAGGGGAAACUUGAGCACAGAGAGCGUUAGGCAGGUGACGGGCAGUCGGGGAAGGAUGGCUGGAGAGACGGCGAGCACCGGAGAGGAGUGAGACCAUCGGGUGGCUUGUGUAAGGGGCUUCGCCCUGCCCAGCCUCCUUCCACAGUGGAGGCUGAGUCCUGGGCAGGGAGGAAGAGCGGGAGGGGGGGCCGAGGCUGGCCCAAAUGCUCUGAGAGCUUCCAGGCCAUGAGCCUUUGGAUUGGAGCAGAAAACUCGCUUUUUCUGCUAAUAAACCGAUGGGAAAGUGCCAGGUCCGGCAGCCUCCUUGCCUUUGGAGGCCCAUAUCCGACAGCUUGCCUUUCUGUGGCCUGGACACUUCUGGUAAUAAAACAUUUAACAAUGUUCCCACUAUGGGGUGGCUAAGGACAUGAGGAGGGGGAUCAGGCAGCCAGGAGACACGGCCCCUGGUGGAGGCGCUGGGUUCAGACCCAAGUGCCCUGGGAGUCCUUCCUGCUGAGAGUCCCCAUAGAUCCUCCAGAGGGCCUCCUGGAGGAAGUGGCACUGGAGUCUUAAGGGGGAAGGAGAGCCUAGAAUAUCAGCGAAAUGGGAACAAAGGCACCGAGGUGCUGGGGAGGUGAGGCUGGAGUAGAGUGCCUGAGAACAGAUAGAUGGGGGAGUGAGGGUGAGACUGGGGACCCUUGCCAUCUGAAGAGCAGAGCCUUUGAAAAUGGAAUCCCCUGUCCCUCUGAAAAUGGCAUGCCCCCCGAGUUUCCAAGUUUAGGAGGGAAAAGUUGUGCACCCCUCUUUGGUUUUCAGCUCCCUCUCCCUAAGUGCUGGUCAUCAGAUGGCUUCUGUUGGGAAGAGCAGUGGUUAGAGCCCUGGGCCUGUUGCGGGAGUGAGACAGCCUCUGCUUGCCUCAGUUUCUUCCUCUGUAAAGAGGGUAUAACAGGUCCUCCCUAACAAGGUCAUAGCAAGGAAUUGGUGACCUCGGCUUGCAAGGGCUCAGUGUGGCUGCCAGCCCUGAAGCAGCUCCCUCUGGUGAUCUUAUUUCUCCCCUUUAUCUGUCUCCCCCCUUCCAAUGGUUUGCCCCUGGGAGUGUGUGUCCAGUGGGCAAUGGCAGCAUCUGGGCCAAGGGCCCCUCAGGCUCUGCCUUUGUUAGGAGGAGAGUGGCUAAACCAAAGCCUUUGCCUUCCCCUGGGACUGACCCAGCCGGGCAUUGCCCUCCAGGAAGCUCAGCUUCAGGCCUUGGGGCCCAUGGGCUCUGGCCUGGUGAUGGGGAGCAGGGCCUGACUUCCAUGCUCCAGAGGGACCCAAGCAUGGGGCGGCCCCAGGAUAGGGGCCCUUCUGAUCUGGGGGGGAGGAGAGAGGAAUGGAACUGGUGCAGAGGAGGAGGGGUGGGUUAGUCGUGGGGAGCCCAUUGGGGACGAGUCCUCAGACUGUGGGGCUGGGGUGCAGAAGGGCUUAACAAUGGAGAGGGCCCUCGGGCUCCAGUUGAGAUUCUGAGUUCUCUUUGUACUCCAUGUUGUUCCCUUACAG